UGGGGAAUCUUGGACAAUGGGCGCAAGCCUGAUCCAGCCAUGCCGCGUGGAUGAUGAGGGCCCUAGGGUUGUAAAAUCCUUUCGCCGAGGACGAUAAUGACGGUACUCGGAGAAGAAGCUCCGGCUAACUUCGUGCCAGCAGCCGCGGUAAUACGAAGGGGGCUAGCGUUGUUCGGAUUUACUGGGCGUAAAGCGCGUGUAGGCGGGUCGUUAAGUUGGGGGUGAAAUCCCGAGGCUCAACCUCGGAACUGCCUCCAAAACUGGCGACCUGGAGCAAGAUAGAGGCGAGUGGAAUUCCGAGUGUAGAGGUGAAAUUCGUAGAUAUUCGGAGGAACACCAGUGGCGAAGGCGACUCGCUGGAUCUUUGCUGACGCUGAGACGCGAAAGCGUGGGGAGCAAACAGGAUUAGAUACCCCAGUAGUCCCUGAGCGGGCUGGCAAGGCGCAU
This 447-nucleotide ribosomal RNA is filed under the name uncultured bacterium. Its description in RNAcentral is "bacterial SSU rRNA". It matches the Rfam family "Bacterial small subunit ribosomal RNA", at positions 355 to 825 of the family's 1533-position model. The record is from RNAcentral.